GACGAACGCUGGCGGCGUGCUUAACACAUGCAAGUCGAACGGAAAGGCCCUGCUUGUGUGGGGUGCUCGAGUGGCGAACGGGUGAGUAACACGUGAGUAACCUGCCCUUGACUUUGGGAUAACUUCAGGAAACUGGGGCUAAUACCGGAUAGGAGCGCCUGCUGCAUGGGGGGGGUUGGAAAGCUUCGGCGGUUGGGGAUGGACGCGCGGCUUAUCAGCUUGUUGGUGGGGUAGCGGCUUACCAAGGCUUUGACGGGUAGUCGGCCUGAGAGGGUGACCGGCCACCUUGGGACUGAGAGACGGCCCAGACUCCUACGGGAGGCAGCAGUGGGGAAUAUUGCACAGUGGGCGGAAGCCUGAUGCAGCAACGCCGCGUGCGGGAUGACGGCCUUCGGGUUGUAAACCGCUUUCGCCUGUGACGAAGCGUGAGUGACGGUAAUGGGUAAAGAAGCACCGGCUAACUACGUG
Molecule: ribosomal RNA, 468 nt
Filed under: uncultured bacterium
Lineage: Bacteria
Description: partial 16S ribosomal RNA
Rfam family: Bacterial small subunit ribosomal RNA
Source: RNAcentral